GUUUUUGAGGUUUAAAAAUCCUCGCAAUCUGAUAUCUAAGUGCUCUCUGUGCAAAGGCUUAGUGCGUUCAUCAGUGGUGAGUUUAACAACACUCAACUGCAGGUAAAACAGCAUUCAGCGGUGAGUUUGACCAAAGCAACGCUCCACUGCAGGAAAAACGGCAUUAAAAGGUGAGUUUAACAACGCUCCAAGACGCGUGCAAGUAAGCAGUUUAACCGUUUUCUUACAACCCAUUCUCGCUUAUCGCUUAUUCAUAGUUUAUCACUAUGAAAUCACGUUCAAGAAGUCUCAUUCAGCACACAUCGCGAUACUUGCCAUCAGUUUACAUGUGCCACAGGUUCGCUGAAAAGAUGUAAAGGAAGCAGUCAUCCCUGUGGUGUUUGUGGAGAGGUAUUCCUUCAGAAAUGGAGAAGACAGAAAGCUGCGGAGGCAGACAUUUGCAGCAGAUAGUUUGCAGAUAAUGCUGUUCUUCUUUUUCAGAAGUUUUUUGUGAGCCAACCCUCACAAACCUUCCUAAAAACUAAAAGAGCUAUUACUGAGUCUCAGCGAAUCUUGCCAUAUCAGCUCUUCCCAGGUACAUCUGUUUAGAAUAUUUUUGAAUCAACAUUUACUCAUCAAAUGCUCUGGUCUGAAUCUUAUUUUAAAUUAACUUAAUUAUAUGUUUAAUGAGCAAUAUUAAUUGCACACAGAGUAAGUAGAGAUUAUCUUGUUUUUCAGAAGAUAAGGAAGACCAAGGAAAUUAUUUGCUCAGAAUGAGGAAUGAAGAUGGGCAUCUUGUGCUCAAACAAA
Carassius carassius (crucian carp) is the source of this 789-nucleotide long non-coding RNA. RefSeq lists it as uncharacterized. The transcript is spliced from 4 exons. NCBI's taxonomy places the organism in Eukaryota, Metazoa, Chordata, Actinopteri, Cypriniformes, Cyprinidae. The record is from RefSeq and is a predicted model, not a curated record.